This 1424-nucleotide long non-coding RNA is filed under the name Amazona collaria (yellow-billed parrot). Its description in RNAcentral is "lncRNA (ENSACOG00000006203.1)". The record is from RNAcentral. Lineage: Eukaryota; Metazoa; Chordata; Aves; Psittaciformes; Psittacidae.
GCCCAGAGAAGCUAUGGCUGCCCCAUCCCUGCCAGUGUUCAAGGUCAGGUUGGAUGUGGCUUGGAGCAACCUGGUCCAGUGGAAGGUGUCCCUGCCCAUGGCAGCAGAUUGGAACUGGAUGAGCUUUAAGGUCCGUUCCAACCCAAACCAUUCUAUGACUCUAAGAGAGGCUGACGGAGCUGGUGGCGUGGUCCUGAUUUAACUGCAGUCCUGGGUUUUGCAGCAUCCCACAGCAUGAGAGGACUUGUGGCAGUGUGCACUGUUACCUGUUUCACUGCUGUUUGUUUUUUCCCCAGAGCUUUGAAGGAGGUAGAGAGGGCUUUAUUUCACCUCCAAGCCAAGUACUUCAGAGAAAGUACAAUCCCUGCCAUUUUCUUGUGCCACAGGAAAAGCAGAGAUGUGGAGAGCUACAGUCCAAGCACUGUAUGGAAAUAAGCACUGGUUGUAUGUGGACACCUUUACUGGAGUUGCUAAGGAGCAGAGCUAGCUAUUUCCAUCUCAAAAUGCAGACAUAUCAAAUAACAUACAUUUAAGGGUAAUUAUGCUUUCUUUUUUUUAGCAAAAAAUCUGCUUAGUGUGGUUUCAUCAAGUUAUAGUCUAAAGAUGAUCUUAGGAAAUGUUAGUUUGCUAAGUGGGCAGUCAUAUGAUGAAACAUAUGUACCAUCUCUGCCUUUAGGUAAUUAUUAACUGGGCAGAUGCUGCAUUUGGAAGGUGCCUGACUUGUUUGGUUUAACAUAAAAAGCUCUAUUAGACUUUUUAAGUGUGCUCUAGGAGGCAAACCCUUCUUCAGGUGAAUUUAAGUGGUAUUUAUUACAGUUUUGCAAUACAUCUAGGUUAUUACUACUGUUUAUGUGUAUUUUCAUGUGUAAAUACUUAGAUUCAUUUAUAUUAGGAUUUGAAUACUUUAAGUACAGUUCAGAGGCUACAUUUCACCUGCUUAUAUAGUUUGUAUCAAAGGUUUGUAUUGCUUUACUAGAGAAAAACAAAUGAUGAGUUGUAGGUUUGAAUGCAAGCAUGUUGUUAGCAAGUGGGCUGAGGAGCUAUGCAGCUUUUCUUCCAUCAUUGUGAGGGUGUUUACCAUGCUAAUGGGGACCUUCCCAUUCUCUCACCAUAGAUGCUAUUUGGGAGCCUGCAUUGUUUCUGAAGAAAGCGUGGAUUUAAAGCACAUGUGCUUGAUUAAGCUGUCUAAUUUAAAAUGAAGAACUUCCUGAAGUCUGGACUUUUGCUUUAGAAAGGUUGAGGAUUUGGAAGGUACGUUUCUGUACCCCAGAGUGAAAGCAUGCUAGUGGAGCUGAUAUCUGUUUGUAUUCUGUGCAGGAAUUUAUUGUGUUUAUAAAAACCAGAUGGACAUAUAUGUUUUCAGUGACUACUUGGAUGAAAUAAAGAAUGAAGUGUUAGUGGCUCAGCAUGAUCUCUGCUUUUGA